Molecule: transfer RNA, 72 nt
Filed under: Camelus bactrianus (Bactrian camel)
Lineage: Eukaryota; Metazoa; Chordata; Mammalia; Artiodactyla; Camelidae
Also listed under: 1 other name
Rfam family: tRNA
About the family: Transfer RNA (tRNA) molecules are approximately 80 nucleotides in length.
Source: Rfam by way of RNAcentral
GGAGGUAUAGCUUGGUGGUAGAGUGCGUGCUUAGCGUGCACAAGGUCCUGGGUUCAAUCCCAAGUACUUUCG